RNAcentral lists this long non-coding RNA (752 nucleotides) under Danio rerio (zebrafish). RNAcentral describes it as "lncRNA si:dkey-33g13.1 (ENSDARG00000096761.3)". Lineage: Eukaryota; Metazoa; Chordata; Actinopteri; Cypriniformes; Danionidae. The record is from RNAcentral.
GCCUUUCAUAGUUUCGCGGUACUGCUUCCGACAGGCCCUCCUGAUUUGCACCUGCCGAGCUAGUGUUGUUCCCAUUCUGACAAACUUCCGGUGACCUGUUAUUAACUCUCAAGAGUGUUCAACAGCAGAGGUGAAACUGAAAGUUAACUCCAUCAAGAGCAGCGCUGGUUAACCAAGUACAAGGCAUCUAAUGUGAAACGUUGAAAUCAUCACUGUGCACCUUUUUCUUGGAGAUGGACUGGAUUCGAAGCGAGAAGUAAAUCCGAGCUGCUAACAUGAGUUCAGCUGAGAGAGCAGCCUGUCUCUUCCCCUCACAUUGGCAGCUUGACAUUAUCAGGAAAUCGGUGCGCUGGAAGCUGAGGGCACCUGCGUGAACCUGUUAAUGGAGGUGCUGAGUGCCGGUGAUGGGGCUGAGAGAAGGGCAGCUGUGAGUGGGGAAAUCCCAGUUUAGAGGCAUUGUGUGCAGGCCGCUGCUUUGGGAUCCAUUUCAGGCCCACAGCGUUAACAGGAUAUGAUUAGUGACUGCUGGGAAUCCACACUGUGGAUGAGUGAAAACACCAGGGCUUUAUUUUGUGUGUGUGUGUGUGUGUGUGUCUGACUGUGACUGUGUGUUUUUCUGUUUUUAUUGUAAAAUGUUGACUGGCUUCAUUCCUGAUGCACACAAUCUGAUGCAUUUGAUCCUUUCAGCCAGUAAGUGCUUUGUGUGUGUGUGAAUUGCUAGAUAGUGUGCUAGAUAAUAAAAAUGAUAUCCA